This 453-nucleotide ribosomal RNA is filed under the name uncultured Porphyromonadaceae bacterium. RNAcentral's name for it is "partial 16S ribosomal RNA". It matches the Rfam family "Bacterial small subunit ribosomal RNA", at positions 341 to 792 of the family's 1533-position model. The record is from RNAcentral. Lineage: Bacteria; Pseudomonadati; Bacteroidota; Bacteroidia; Bacteroidales; Porphyromonadaceae.
ACGGAAGGCAGCAGUGAGGAAUAUUGGUCAAUGGACGGAAGUCUGAACCAGCCAAGUCGCGUGAAGGAUGAAGGUAUUAUGUAUUGUAAACUUCUUUAGCAGUGGAGUAAUAAGGGGAUCGCGAUCCCUGAUGCAAGUACACUGAGAAUAAGGAUCGGCUAACUCCGUGCCAGCAGCUGCGGUAAUACGGAGGAUCCGAGCGUUAUCCGGAUUUAUUGGGUUUAAAGGGUGCGCAGGCGGCUUUUUAAGUCAGUGGUUAAAUCGUGACGCUCAACGUCAUCACGCCAUUGAUACUGGAGAGCUUGAUUGCGGUCGAGGUUUGCGGAAUUCGUUGUGUAGCGGUGAAAUGCAUAGAUAUGACGAAGAACACCGAUUGCGUAGGCAGCAGACCAGGCCGUAAAUGACGCUCAUGCACGAAAGUGCGGGGAUCGAACAGGAUUAGAUACCCUGGUA